Molecule: ribosomal RNA, 253 nt
Filed under: uncultured bacterium
Lineage: Bacteria
Description: partial 16S ribosomal RNA
Rfam family: Bacterial small subunit ribosomal RNA
Source: RNAcentral
UACGUAGGGUGCAAGCGUUAAUCGGAAUUACUGGGCGUAAAGCGUGCGCAGGCGGCCAUGCAAGACAGAUGUGAAAUCCCCGGGCUCAUCCUGGGAACUGCAUUUGUGACUGCAUGGCUAGAGUACGGCAGAGGGGGAUGGAAUUCCGCGUGUAGCAGUGAAAUGCGUAGAGAUGUGGAGGAAUACCGAUGGCGAAGGCAGCCUCCUGGGAUAACACUGACGCUCAUGCACGAAAGCGUGGGGAGCAAACAGG